UACACCUUCGCCAAUUUCUCCGAUCUCCUCAUCGAUGAUGGACUAACUUAUACGAAUACUAAGGACUUACCUUUUAUUUUCCUUUCCGUUAUUUUAAUAUUCUUUCAUCUUUUGACUCAUAUCAUUCUAUUUCCUUAUCAUCGAUUAUCAAGAGCUUCUCAUCACCGUCGUCUCUUCGUUGUCGCGUUUCGUUCGUCCAAUAGUAAAGGAUAGUAAAGGAAUCGUCGAGACAGCUUUGUUGUUAAAUCUGGACCACUUGAUGCCGGCACCGCCCCAAUCCUUCGUAUCUGCGAAGCGCUUCGUUGGGUGAGCACCCACGUGCACGCAACUCAGAGCGGAACAAACGAGAAAGGAGGAUGGUAUUGACCCAGUUUUGAUGCACCGUGCAAUGGCUUUUCUUUCUUAACUAGCAAACUCUUCGGUCAAGAAAAAAAGAAAGAAAGAAUGAAAGAAAAGAACGUGUGUUCAAACACGUUUCAUGAUAGUCUAUCGAAGAAGAAGAAAAAAAAUCUUAUGUUUCUUCGUUGAAGAAUUUCUUAUUAAAGAAAUUAAAAAGAGAAAACAGAGAGAGAGAGAGAAAGAAAGAGAAAGAGAAAGAGAAAGAGAGAAAGAGAUGAAAGUUGAAAACCGGAAGGAAUGUCAACAAAUUAGAAAACGCAUUUUAACGCAACUAUGAAGAAAAAAGAUAUGAAACGAGCGACAUUUAUUCUCCACUUCUCUUGCGACCUGACUCUUCGUCAUCUCGCCUCUCCUCCUUUUCAUACGCGCGUGUCCGGCCGAUGGACGUUGAUGACUUGUUACAAAAAUAUACUCUGCUUGUUCUUUAAGCCCAUGUCAGCGAAGAAUUUCACCUUGACGAGAAAUUAUUCCGAGAGACAUUUGACGUAAUCGUUCGUACAAAUACGAGGGGUAAAGAUACGCGGUGCAUUUUCCUCUCUUUCUAUCUUUCUCUAUUUAUACGUUUGUCUAUCUCUCCCCAUCUCUCCCCACCCCUCUUUCUUUCUCUCUCUCUCUUUCUUUCUUACCUGUUACUUAUAUAGUUAUUUUUCGAAUUAUAGUCUCGAAGCAUCAGCGACAAUCGCUUUCGUUUUCUAGUGGCCCGCUAACUAUUCGAAUCGACCAAUCAAGACAAAAGCGUUUUUCUAUCAAAUGAAAAUGCGCUAUUUUCGAAUCGUUUCAUACACCCCGACGGUGAUCAGAAAGCAUCGAGAAUAAACGAUGAAAAACAAACUCUAUCAAAUAUGAUAUAAUUCUUUGUGUGUGCGCGUGCUUGUGUGUGUGUUUACAUUUUCUGGUUUACAUUGUAUAAAAUCCAUGAUACUCUUGUAUCUCCUAGAUGUAAUCGAUUAUACAUCGAACGAUAAAUGUUUCCACAUAUAUGAUUCGUAUUAUAGAUUUAAAGUAACACAUACAUCUUGAGAAAUUGAUUGUGAACUAUAAAAGAUCAUAAUACAGAACCCUUCGUAGAAUUUUAAUUGAGCUGUGCUAUUGUAAUUAUAAGUUUCGCCUAUUUAAAAUUCAGUAAAGUCAACUUUUGCUUUACGUCAUGAUUUUUUUAUAUUUCGACAUCAAUUUUCUUUAUUCAACACUCUGCGUAUAUAUAUAUAUAUAUAUAUAUAUAUAUAUAUAUACAUACGAUCUUUUAUGCGAACGGAGAAUACUAUUAAAACUAAAAAAAUAUUUAUUUUACAAUAAAUAAUAUAAACACAUACACUUGUACAUCACGUGUAUGUAACAAAAACCAUGUCGAUUCACAAAGAAUACUCGCUUUAAUUAAACUUCUUAAAGCGUCGAUUUCGUUGUAUUAUUAUUAAUAUAGAACGACACUUGUGCGAUAUUUGGAUUUCUGCGAUAUAACGAAUUACGUCAAAAUUCACGUGUAACCGUGUGUCACUAAGCACAUUAUACAAUUAUUAUUUAUUUAACGAAUGUGUCGACGUUACGUAAAUAAGAGUUCUUAUUGUUAUAUCCAA
Long non-coding RNA from Vespa mandarinia (Asian giant hornet), 1973 nucleotides. The record is from RefSeq and is a predicted model, not a curated record. NCBI's taxonomy places the organism in Eukaryota, Metazoa, Arthropoda, Insecta, Hymenoptera, Vespidae.